Molecule: long non-coding RNA, 1034 nt
Filed under: Coturnix japonica (Japanese quail)
Lineage: Eukaryota; Metazoa; Chordata; Aves; Galliformes; Phasianidae
Description: lncRNA (ENSCJPG00005004406.1)
Source: RNAcentral
AUCCUUCCCAAGUGAGUACCUCAGUACCACUUGUAUUUCCUUUGAUGCAAUCCUUAGAAACACUGAUUCAAAGUCAUGAUUCAUGGAUGAACUCUCAGAGGGAGGAAGUCCCUGAACUCUAAAUCCCACCACUAUUUUUGCCAGUGAAUCAAACCCUAAGCUCUGUUUCUAGUGUGCGUUUGAAGUACACCACCCCAGUGAAUACCAGCUCUGUUAAUCUUCUAUCAUGAACUCAGCUGAUUCCAACACUGGAAAGAAAGCACUGUGGCUCUUGAUAGAACAUUUGUUGUGUUUCAGCUAUUACAUUUUUAUGAAGGACUUCAGACUGAUAGGAAAAACAUGGCUGAUGGGUUGAGCGCACAAUUGGUGCAGUUUCUUUUGAAGUGGAUAAUCCAGUACACGGCUGAGCAAAUGACAAACCAGAUGUGGAAUGAAAGGUACCCCUUGGGGCUCAGAGAACCUGAGAAACAAUGGAAUCUGCGGGACAUUUUUAGUGAAUCAGACCCUUGUUCUCCUCCACAAAAGAGGAGAGGAAGAAAAAAAAACACUGUGACACAUAAAACAUGCAGCAACUAAUUGGUGGCAACUUCUGCGAAUGGGAACAUGAACUGCAUGGCAUGUGGAUAAAAGAGAAAGCAUCUGCAAAACAUGUGAGGAAAACUGUGAAUAUAAUUCUAGCAAUUAUGAUUAUAGUGUUGUAUACGCUACUGCACUUAAUUACAAUUUUCUGUUCUUUUCAUGCUAUGGAAAUGGACUAAAUGGACUACAAAAUAUAUCUCAAAAGACAAGCAAUCUGUGGCAUGAAUAGGAUCCUUCUUUAUCUCAAUACAAUGAGGACUACAUUUCAUAAACAUGGCAGCAUCUCCCUGAUAAUUCUUCAGAACAGAAUUUUGAUUAAAAAAUGAACACUAUGAAAAAAAAUUAGCAGCUAUUAUUAUUUCAUCUGUGAACAUGAGUAGGAUUAUUAGGAGAAUUAAGAGGGUAAAAAAAAACAAUAACAACAAAAAACAACAAAAAGUAGUUUACUUUCAGAG